AGAAUGUUCUUUAGGCAGAGACCAAAUAAUAAGUACUACAGUAGUUUUGAGAACAAAGAAAGAUGGUACUUCACAUUUUUCUAGUAAAACCCCCGAGAGGAGCAUCAGACGGUUUGGGGGGAACACCACCCACAGGGCAGAAACUGGUCAUUAAAGGGACAAGAAGCUUAUGCAGGCGAAGUGCUGACAUCAUGGCUUUUUAGUUACUCAAGGCUAACAAGAUCUCCACCAGGGGGAAACGGCAGAAAAACAGGAUCUGUUCCGGAUCAGAAGACCAAUUCGUUGUUCAACACUGGCUUUUCUGCUCACUCUACUAGUGCCAAAUCGAGUUUGUUUACAUUAAAUCCAAAUUUAGCGCAGAUUUGAGCACUUCCUUCUUACCGCAGAAUCACCUCCCACCGUAUAAAAGUGGAGGCUCACGUGUAACUGAGUAUGGAGAUAAGCUUGACGUAAAGAACGCUUCAGGUUGGCUGAGCUUCACGCAUGACAUCCUGGAACUCGACUCCCCAAUUAACACUGACUUAAACGUGUUUUCACUCAGGAGUUACUCUUAAUUCCAGGUGAGAAAAUCUGAGGCGGAACAAAGUGUAGGACGGAAAUCUUCCCUCCCAUAUGGACUGGGAAGGUACCACUGAAUUCAUUUUCAUCAUUUUCACUGACAUGAUAGGCCAGAAACCGAGCUCACAUUUCCAGAGGCGAACAUCUCAUUUUAGGUGAAGGAGGCUGAGGACCACAGUGACGAGAAACCCCUGGCCCGGAGGUCAGCCCCAAGAUCUGAAUCUCAGCUCCUUAGCUCUGAGAUCCGGGGCAAACCGAUACACUGCUCUCAGCCUCUAUGGGCUUUUUGGUAAAUGGGGAAAAAGAAUACUAUCUACCUAUUUUGCAGGGCUGCAGUGAGAUUUAGAAAUGUAAGGCCCCCAGGAAGCCCCGAGGGAAUGGGAGCUGCCGAAGUCAUUACUAUCUGUUUGAUCGGACCCAGAGGUUCUAAGAAUGGAGAAUCAAAUGACUGGACUAAAAAGCUCACCAGUUUCUGAACUUCGAACUCUGCCGCGAUUUGCCAGUAGCCCUCGUCGUUGGGGCGCAACAUUACAACAUCAAAAGCGGAAGCUGUGGCAACCGUUGCAUCUUCCUGGCUGAGGGCUAGUGCCUGUAUUCUUGCGUCAUGCUCAAAACGAUGGAUGGGAUACUUUCCGGUCCUUAGAUCCCAGAUAUUAAGAAACCCUACGUAGAGAAAAACAGGGCAGGUAAUUUUAGAUUUCCUUAAAACGCACAAUUAUAAAGUAAUCAUGCAAUAUAAAGAAAGUUAAAAGGUAAAUGACAAAUUUGCAUCACAUACAACACAGGGCCGAUUUCCUUAACAAUGAGCUUCUAAGGUCCAAUAAGGAAAAAAAAAAGCAAUUGGAAAGUGAGCAAAGGACAAGAGCAUGCUGGUCACAGUAAAAGAAAUACAACUGAUGUACACAGUAAGAAAAACGCAAAAAUUCACUCACAAUUAGAAAAAUACAAAAACGGGGGCGCCUGGGUGGCUCAGUUGGCUGAGCAUCUGACUUCAACUCAGGUCACGAUUCCACGGUUCAUGCAUUCGAGCCCCGCGUCGGGCUCUGUGCUGACAGCUCAGAGCCUGGAGCCUGCUUCGGAUUCUGUGUCCCUCUCUUGCUUUGCCCCCCCCCGCCCCCCCUCCCCCGUUCACGGGCAAGCGCACGCACUCUCUAAGAAAAAAUAAAACACUAAAAAAAAAAAAAGAAAAACACAAAAACGGUAACAGAAUAUUAUUUUUCAUCCAUCAAACUGACAAAAAUGAAAAAUUUCAUAAAACAUUUUGUUGUUGAGGCUAUAGGGAAAUAGACUCUAUUUUUUUAAAUGCUUAUUUAUUUUGAGGGGGGAGAGGGGCAGAGGGGGGGGGAGAGAAUCCCAAGCAGGUCCCAUGCUGUCAGUGCAGAGCCUGACCUGGGGCUCAAUCUCACAACCAAACCAUGAGAUCAUGACCUGAGCCAAAACUGACUGAGUCAGAUGCUUCACUGACAAAGCCACCCAGGCACCCUAGGCUCUAUCUUAAAUUGUUGGUGGAGAUAUAAACUAAUUCACCCAACUUGGGAGGCAAUUUGAUGGUACGUACCAGAUUACGAAUGUCUACAGGAUAGUCGCUGAAAUGUUUUUCAUUAUGUCAAAAGAUUAGAAGCUAUCUAAAUGUGCACCACAGUUUGAAAUUUAAAUAAAAUGAGGAAUUAAAAAGACUGUGUCAGAUUUAUACAUAAGCUACCUGAAAGAUCAACAAAAUAUAUUAUUAAAUGAAAAAAGUGAAGGACAGAGUAGUGGUAUAGUAGGUUAUACUACUUUCGUGUUUUAAAAAAUUUACACACACACACACAAACGUAUACACAGACUAUCCUCGUGUAUGGAAGGAUACACAAGAAACUGUUACCAGUGCUUGGCAUUGAAGGAAAGAAACCAAAGAGAAGGGACAAGAGUAGGAGGGCAUUUUACUAUAUAUCCACUUGUAUAUUCUGAAGAUUUUCCCUAAAAUUAUUUUUACUAAAAAGAUAAAUUUUAUAAAGUGUUUUUAUGAGACAGACUUAACAAUAGCAGGACACACAUCAAUUGCUGAAUACUUUGCACAUAUGGCGCUCCUAAUUCAUUCUCUUAAUUGUCCAUUCAUGCAACAAAUAAUUUUUCCCAGUUUUAUUGAUUACAGUUGACAUAUAAGUUGUACGACACAACAAUCUGAUAUAUGCAUACACUGUAAAAUGAUUACCAUAGUACAUUAGUUAAUACCCAUCACCUCACACAGUUAACAAAUUUCUUUUUCCUUAGAAUGAGAACUUUUAAAAUCUACUCUCUUAGCAACUUUCAAAUAUACGGUACAGUAUUAACUGUGGUCAUCAUGUUGUAGGUUAGAUCCCCAGAACUUAUCUUCUAACUGGAAGUUUGGACACCUUUUGACCACCUUUACUGAUUUUUCCCACACCUCCGUCCCCAGGAAUCACAAAUCUGUUCUCUGUUUCUGAGGGUUUUGUUUGUUUGUUUGUUUGUUUUUAUUUUUUUAUUUUUAUUUUUUUAAAAAAAAUUUUUUUUUUUUAACGUUUAUUUAUUUUUGAGACAGAGAGAGACAGAGCAUGAACGGGGGAGGGGCAGAGAGAGAGGGAGACACAGAAUCGGAAACAGGCUCCAGGCUCCGAGCCAUCAGCCCAGAGCCUGACGCGGGGCUCGAACUCACGGACCGCGAGAUCGUGACCUGGCUGAAGUCGGACGCUCAACCGACUGCGCCACCCAGGCGCCCCUGUUUGUUUGUUUUUAGAUUCCACACAUAAGUGAGAUCACACAGUAUUUGUUUUUCCUCGGACUUAUUUCACUUAGCAUAAUGCCCUCAAGGUUCACCCAUGUUGUUGCCAAUAGCGGAAUUUCAUGGCUGAAUAGUAUUCCGUUGGACACGUAUACCACAAUUUCUUUAUCAGUUCGACUGUCAAUGGACACUCAGGCUGUUUCCAUGUCUUGGCUGUCAUGAAUAAUGCUAAUGCUGCAGUGCACGUGGGGUGCGGACGGUUCUUCGGGACAGUGACUUCAUCUCCUUUGGACAUAUACCCAGAAAUGGAAUUGCUGGACCAUAAGAAAUCUAGAGUUCUAGAUUUCAUUUUUGGGGGAACCUCCAUACCGUUUUCCAGUGGUUGCACAAAUUUACAUUCCCACCGACAAUGCACGAGGGCUUUCUCUCCACAUCCUCACCAGCAUCUGUCAUCCCUGGUCUUUGACGACAGCCAUUCUAGCAAGCGUGAGCUAUCAGGCAGAAAAUUACUGAGCAUGUUAUAUAUGGGGCACUGUUGUGGAUGCCAGCAAGAUCUGAAAACAGCCACUAACUUGUAUUUUACAUCCUUCCUCACACCACCCUCUUCCAGCCGCAGUGAGCACUGAUGCUUUACUUUCCAUCAUUAUCAAACGUGAGCUUAACUAUCCUACACUUGCUAAAAACCUUGAUCUACCUACACACCCUUGUCCCUCCAGCUCCCCGGAUGCUGCUACCCAGAUGAAUCCCUCUUACACACACUGGCUGUGUGUCUCCACCUUUCUCAAAUGGUCUACAGCAUGAUAUCCAAGUUUUCCAAGUGGUCUUCAGACCAGAAGCCCCAGCAGCUGCAGCAUCACCUGGGGGCUUGUUAGAAAUGCAGAUCUGGGGGCAACAGAAACUCUGGGGAUAUACACUCAAGUCUGAGAACCAGUCUGUCUACAGGAACUUACACUCUUCUAUCAGAAACAGAAACUUUUCUGUACCUGGGAUGCCUUUCUUCUUCUUACCCAAAUUCUUUUUAUCAUUCCCACCCACUUCUUUCCCUGCCAAUAUGUACCCAAGAAAAUAAUUACUGUCUGCAUCAUACUGGAUAACGUCCUGCUCCAAUUCCCACUGAUUUUAUUUUUCAAAGUUCCCUGAGAAAUGAUUGCACAGAAAUAACAGUCUGUGGUUAUUUGAGUUCAAAUCCAGCUCUACCACUUGCUAGCAGAAGGUCUUGGGCAAGUUACUUUAAGCUGUGGGCCUGUCUCUUCAUCUACAAAACGGAAGAUAACAUUACCUACUGCACAGGACUGUUGGACAGACGAAAGGGGAAAAGCCACACCAAAGGCUGGAAAUAGGCCAUUUUUACCUUUCAUGUGUUCUAGAAGGCCUGCCAUGUUGUAAAGCAUGUUUACAAUCUACUAAUAGUGCAAAUUCCCUCCGUUGCUCCUCCAAAAAUCUAAUCCUACUUCCUACAACUUCCUGUUACCCAAAACAGAUAAAGCUCUUUCACGUUUCUUCUCUCGGCAAUCCAAGUGCUUUGAACUUAGGAUCUUACCAUAAAGCAUCAUUCAGUACUAAAAAAUACAGUCAGAAGAAAGUAAUGCAUGUGGGCUGCUCUGCAAGACUUUGAAACCGCCAGCAGGCUAGGUGGGUGAUGACAAACAGAAGCGGAGCUUUCUUCAAGUUAAAUGUCGCUUCAGACGUAAAACAGCGUUCUUUUCUGAGAAUUACGAUAAACCAAGGGGAUCCGCGGGUCACACACGGCUCCACGACACAUUCCCCUGGCAAAUCUUUUGGCAAGUCCUCCCCACUCUCAGAAGAAACAGAGAUGCUGCAGAAAACGCUGAAUACACAUUCAAUAGGAGACAGGCAUAUUCCAAGACGUGCCUCCUCCGAGCACUUCUGCGUUAUGUGUGUUUGCCUUUGUUCAGAGACGUCACAAUAAACAGUCACGAGAGAAACAAAAUUUGCAAUUUUCACAGAGCUUUUGAGAGUGAGACAUUUUCAUUUGUCUCCUCUCAUUGAGUGCUCACUUCCAUUUUGGGAGGAACAUCAUUAUCCUCAUUUACAAAAGAGAACAGAAGCUCCGAGUGGUUAAACAACUGGUCCAAAGCCACUUGGUAUGUGAUGAGGCUGGGCUGGAAUUAUGCUGGGAAAGUGCGGGAUGUGCGGCUGCCUCUCCAAGUGCAUAAAAUAACCAUGAGCUCCACGAGCAAAUGACGUAAACUUGCCUGGAUUCUGCCAAAUGUGAAAGUUACUCAACCACGGCUCACUCUAAGCACACAUGGAGUUUAUCUAUAAACACAUUUUUCAUUAUUAAUCAACUACUCGGUUUUGUCGGCAUCACUAUUCCAACAGAAUCUUGUGCAAUAAAAUAUCCUUUGCUGCAAGGUUGAGCUUCACAGAGCCAUCCUAAGAAAGGUCUUUUUGGAAAAUAUAUUCUAGGGUUCCCUCAAUUUAAUGGCCACAUUCUUUUCUGGACUCCUACAGCGUCGUCAUCUUUAUCAACUCUCUCUACUCCCUUCAACUACUAAGCAUAUAAAACCUUGUCAGCCCCUUCCUUGUCGACAGCACAGUCCUCCAAGACCACUUUUACAUGUGUGAACAUUUAAAACGGUCAUGUCCUCUGAACGAAUUGACCCUCCGUUGUGUGAAAUGUCCCUCUUUACCCCUGGUUGUGUUCUUUGCUCUGAGAUCUUCUUUGUCUGCUAUGGAUAUAGGCAUUCCAGCUUUCUCCUGAUUAGUGUUAGCACUGUAUAUAUUUUUCUGUCCUUUCUCUUUGCCUUGUGUCUUCACAUUUGAAACGAGUUUCUUGUCGACAGCAUAUAUACUUGGUCUUGUUUUUAACUGGAGUGUGUAGACUAUUUCCUUUAAUGUGGUUAUGGGCAGGAAUGGGUUUUUCCUACCAUUUUGCUAUUUGUCCCAUUUGUUCUGUGUUCCCUUUUUCUCUUUUUCUGCCUGCUUUUAGAUGGAGUAUUUGCUUCAACCGAGUAUGUGUUUAUUCCAUUUGCGUUCCCCUGUUGGCUCAUUAGCCCAAACUCUUGUUGUGUUAUUUUAGCCCAAAUGCUUCAGCAUUUUAGCAUUCAUCUUUAACUUACCGGUCUACCCUCCAGUGACACUGCCCCACUUCAUGUGAAGAGGGCAAGCUUCACUGCCACACACUUCCAUUUCCUGCCCCCCAGCCUUUGUGCCACUGUGGUCAGGCUUUUCGUUUCUACGUGUGUGAUGAACCCCAUGUACAUUAUUACUUUUGCAUCAGCAGGCAAUCUUUAAAAAAGGACUUAAACAGUAAGAAAAAAAAAGCCACGUAUACUUACCCAUGUAAUUACCGCACCUGGGGCUCUUCCAAUAUCACUUUUAACACUAAAUCCUGCAGCUGUUGCAAGAUUUGCAAUUUCACUUUGCAACUGUGUUGCUGGACACUUGACCCAAAAACACCCGGGCAAGGUGGGCAGGAAGAGACACAGCAGCGAAUGGGGAGAGAUGUUUGGGUGGAAGCUAGUUUUAUAAAUGAUCAAUCUAUUCGUUAGUAGUUACAUCAUGGCUACUCUUACAACCUCAAAACUGCAGGGACUUGAACUACGAAUACCUGAAUUAUAAUAAUGUCUUCUAAUAUUGUAGCUGACUAUCACCCACGUUAACCAACAUUUAGUCAAAAGGGAAUCGAUGUAAUAGUACAAUCAAGUAUUUACUGAGCCCCGGCUUUGGGCCAGCCACUAUUCUAGGUAGUCAGGAAACUGCGGCAAAUAAGACAAAAUAAAACAAGAAAGUCACUGACUGCAUGCAGUGAAUAUUCUCAUGGCAUCUACCAAGCAUCUCGUUUGGGGGCAGACAGAAAGGAUAGGACUCCUAUUCUCACAAAACCUGUACCUGAGAGAAACAAACCUUUUAAUGACCAAAAUGUAACACAGAAUAGAAGAUACAAAGUACAAUGGGAAAAUGGAUAUGCUUUUUAUCAUGCCAUAAAAUUAUUUUAAUAUCCCCAAAGAAGGGGCGGCUAAUUUCUCUAGACACUUCAAGUUGAACUGGAUGCACAACCAUCACGUGACAUUAAGAAGUAAGUAGCCAAUGCCCGUCAGAACCAAAUAUAGUCACUUGUCAAACAGGUGAUAAUUUUUUUUUCAAUAUAUGAAAUUUAUUGUCAAAUUGGUUUCCAUACAACACCCAGUGCUCAUCCCAACAGGUGUCCUUCUCAAUACCCAUCACCCACCCUCCCCUCCCUCCCACCCCCCAUCAACCCUCAGUUUGUUCUCAGUUUUUAAGAGUCUCUUAUGCUUUGGCUCUCUCCCACUCUAACCUCUUUUUUUUUUUUUUCUUUUCCUUCCCCUCCCCCAUGGGUUUCAAACAGGUGAUAAUUUUUAAAAAUCUGAUAGAAAUUCAUUCAAAAGGCCAAGUCUUAUAUCACAGAAACAAUAAUGAUAUGGAUUUGGCUCUUGAUAUUGUGUGGACCUCUCAAGUGUCAGAACUGUGUCCUUUUUCUUCCAUAUCGCCUAUGUCAGUGAAUUCAGAACGUCACUAACAACGUGGCUGUCAAUAAAGGUUUGCCAAAUGUUUGUCUUACGUUUUAGCAAGGGACGUAACAAAACAAAAGAAACAAAAAUCCACCGCAACUCAAACACAAAAGGGAAAUGGGCUGGGAGGGAAUGGGGCUAUUUCAUGGAACCCAAAGGCAAGAAGUACAGCUGGAGAUCAUAAGGAAUCUGAACCAGGGACUAGGAAGACAUUCAGAACCAAGGCAGGGUAUGUGUUCUGUGUGCCUCUCUGUGCAGCUGUUUUCAUUCUUCUGUCUCCCCCCACAAACCAGCUGUCGCUCUUCCCCAAUCUGCAGAGUCUUCUAAUCCAAGCAUAGAACCCAGACUAAAUGUGUGAGGCCCAAAUGGCUCAUCCCAAUCCAUGAAUUAGCUGCCCCCCGGGCCUACGGUUCCCACCCUCCUCCAACCGAGGCCAAAGACUAACUCAAAUACUCACUGUGAACGUGCCUACCCCUACGGGGGCUAAGGAGGUUCACUGGGGUUAGGAGACACCCCAAAAGUGUCUACUACACUUAUCCUGCAAGUCAGGCCAGGGGAAAACGAGCAAAUGUCUUAGCAAAUGCAAAGGCAGGAUCUGUGUAGUUAGUUCCUCAGUAGUGACUUAAAAAGCAGGUCACUGCCAUCAUUUCCUGAACAAGCCAUGAUCCCUAAGCGCCAGAGCUCACGGCCCCCAUUUAUUUGCCCCACACCGGGAAAACUAAAAGGACAGCAGAGGUCUUUCUCCCUGACGAAACCUCAAGAGCUGGAUGAAGGAUGUCCAACUCUGAGCCAGUGCCAGCCUCACGACAACACGACUUCAUCCACGAGAAAUAUGAAACGGAUGCAGACGAAAGAAGAAAAAGGGUCUGUCAAAAAAUCUGGAAGGGCACAAUGAGUGAGGGCCCUCGGCCCAAUCGAGGAGAUGGGAGUGGGGCUCUGACAAGCGGCAGCAGGGCGGAAGCAACUCGGAGCUCACCCUAGACCGGGGAACGGUUGUUAACAAUGACAUGAGUAACGAUGGCCAGUCUUCUGAGGAGACACAAAGCCUGCUCAGCAGCUGUGGUGGGCACCCAUGCCAGUUUGCGACAUGCCCCUCCCACCUCCCGGAGGAGGCCAGCCAGAGUGUGGUAAUGAAACUGCACAUAGUGGAAAUGGGAUCUAAAUGAGUUUAAACUGAUUUAUGUGAGCUUUUGUAAAGAUUACUCGAUAUCAGGAAAGUGCUACCACUGUGAAAUAAUGUCGACAAUCCUUAAGACCUCCGCCUAAUGGUACUUGCACAGAAUAUUUAUAUUCCUCGUCAUGGGAACAAGGACCAUAAUGGAUACCAUUUUUGUUUUAUUAGGGAUGCAUAUUUAAAUUAAUCUGCUAUUUGCCUAAACAAUUAGCUGCUUCUGUUUGUGUGCACAAAGCCAAAGUUGCAAUUAGGCUUCCAUCAAAAAGAUAAGUCCCAACUAAAACUGUCCCGGUGGGGUCGUAAGAGCUCAGGGCAGAACUUUCCAAAAUUACUUUUUAGCAUAAUGGUAAUUAUGUUAAUUGCUUGAAAGGUAAAUAACUGCUGAACCGGUUUUGGGGGGGGUGGGGAAACACACCACACACAACUGGCCCUGCCCCCUCCCCUUUGAUCUUUUUCAAGCACCAUUAAAAUUUAAAACAGGUUGACAGUUUAGAAAGUCACAGACUAGUCACUUCUUAAACCACAGAGUGUCUUGUGGUCUCUAGUGCUUCCUUGAUUAGAACUUAUUGUAGCCAUGAGCUCCUAUCCUCUUGAGCUUGGACACUAAACACCUGAGGCGUAGGGCAGUUUCUGACCACAGUAAUCGACCCCCCCCCCACCUGUGGGGGAUACGUUUCAAGAUCCCCAGGACAUGUCUGACCAUGGACAGUUCCAAACCCGUUAGGUACUAUGUUUUUUCCUUUACAUACAUACCUUUGAUAAAGUUUAAUUUAUAAACAAAAAAAAAGCACAGUAAGAGAUCAACAAUAAAAUAGCACAAUUAUAACACUAUAUUGUGACAAAAGUCAUGUGAAUGUGGUCUCUCUCUCAAAGUAUCUUAUUGAACUGAACUCAUCCCUCUUUUUGCGAUGAUGUGAGAUAAUAACACACCUGCAUGAUGAGAUGGAACGAUGUGCAUGAGGUAGCGUUAGACUACCACUGACCGAGGACUCCACUCCAACCCCCCCCCCCCCCCCCCGCUUCUAGACCACAGUGGCUGCGGGUAACUGAAGCUGCAGAAACUGAAACCACGGAUAAGGGGGCACUGCUGUAGUUACGUAGGCAGGGUCAUCUAACUGCAGUUCAGAGAACAGUGAAUGAAACUAUUUUUAAAAACAGCUUGUAACUUCAAUUUCCACCCCAUAAACACUUGCCUAUAAAUAAACAGGAGCCAAAAAAACUCCUUGACAAGAGAAAAAGCAUUUUAUUUUAUUUUUUAAUUUAUUUUUUUUUUAACGUUUAUUUAUUUUUGAGACAGAGACAGAGCAUGAAUGGGGGAGGGUCAGAGAGAGAGGGAGACACAGAAUCGGAAACAGGCUCCAGGCUCUGAGCGGUCAGCACAGAGCCCGACGCGGGGCUUGAACUCAUGGGCCUCGAGAUCAAGACCUGAGCCGAAGUCGGCCACUUAACCGACUGAGCCACCCAGGCGCCCCGAGAAAAAGCAUUUUAACAAAAAUUUAAGAUCUACCCAUUGCAUUCACUAACUGUGUACUGCCUCAUUCAUCAAGUCCAUACAACAGCACUAUGAGAUAGAGGCCAGAGGUGUAAAGGUGGCAUGGGUUUGAAAGGAGAAAAUAAAUUUUGCUUUUACGGAAGAGGUGGCCAGGGAGGUUAGUAUCAGUGCAAACAAGGGUCAUGUUGAAGUGCUCGGUACGGAAGGUCUGGAAUAAGACAAAGUGUCUACCAUGCAUGUUCAUCCUCAACACUGCAGCCGAACACAACUCUAAACCUGAACCCUGUGAUGUGGAGAAAAACAACGCAUAGGAAGCAUUCUGGAAGCUGUACUUUGGACUGACGAGAAUCUGAAUGGGCUCAUGGACCGAUCAAGUGGCUGGUUAGGCACAACAGAUCAGCGACCGGAUGAGAGAUCACCAAAGCAGAAAGAGAGUCAAGAAGAAAGCAAGAUGAAUAUAGUUAGGAAUCUUGGGUUCAAAGCAGAAGAAAAACAUUUUAAAAAUAAAAAAUGAGAAAAGACAGUAAGUUGAAAAGGAAUCAAAUAACAAGUAACAGAUCGUAAGACAGGACAAUGUGACUCCGUAGAAGAAUUCAGAGUAACGGAGUCCAAGGAAAAACAGAUUCAUGGGGAAAGCAUCCGGACCAGGUCUUCUACAAGGGGAAGUGCCAAGGAGGCAGAGAACGCGAAAGAGACAUCACUAUGCACACAGCCACCAACCCUGCCAGCUCCAGCCAGUGUCUUCCUACACUAUAACGGAGCAAUAUAAACAUAAUCUGGAAUAUAUUUUGAAGAGUCCAUCAGACAGUGGUACUAGGUGAUGCCUCCAGCGCACAAACUAUGGUACUGGGCAAUCGGGACAGUGGUGGUGGGUAGAGAAAGAACACUUAUUCUUCACUACACAUCCUUUGGGACAAUUUGAAUUUUUCCUACAUGUUAUACUAUCUCAAAAAUUUUAUUAUAAUUUGUAUACAUAUCUUUAUAAAUAUUAACAUGAUUUGUGAUGAGAUUUUUUUCACUUUUCCCAAUCACGGUCCACAUAAUUUUAUAAUCAACAUUUAACUCUGAUAUACAAAUUCUACUUCUGACUCAGUGAUAGGUUAAGGUGAAUUAAACUCCAAAGGAGUACGCAACAUCGCCACCACUUUCCUGACCAGACAGGUGCCAGAGAGCCCAGGCCAAGAGUAGCCCAGGGUAAGUCUUAAUCUCCUUGUUCUUUCUCUUUUCAAAAAGUUUAUUUGUUACUAAAAGGCAAAUAGGUCUAUCUUCAAAAACAGUUCCACUCAUGUGCUAAGUGACAGAACUAUAUAAUAUUUAGAAAUGCGUGAUUUAAGAUAACGCUCAGGACUACUGAAGCAGAAUGAUGGGUACAUGGGGAUUCAUCACCCUAUUCUCCCCAAUUUUGUGUAUUUUGAAUUUCCUACAAUAAAAGGAUUCUUAAAAAU
RNAcentral lists this long non-coding RNA (11887 nucleotides) under Lynx pardinus (Iberian lynx). The record is from RNAcentral. Lineage: Eukaryota; Metazoa; Chordata; Mammalia; Carnivora; Felidae.